This 224-nucleotide long non-coding RNA is filed under the name Bos taurus (domestic cattle). RNAcentral's name for it is "long non-coding RNA NONBTAT016069". The record is from RNAcentral. Lineage: Eukaryota; Metazoa; Chordata; Mammalia; Artiodactyla; Bovidae.
GGAAGACAUUCCUAAUCUAUUUCAGAAAGAAUUGUUAGGUGUGGACCCAUCUGGGUCAUUAAUGCCAUCACACAUGGGAUAAAUUCAUAUGCAUGUGCUUAAAAAAAAAGGGAGCAUGUGUUACAGACUGCUUUGUAAUAUGUUACAAUGUUAAAUUGAAUGUGUUUAUUUUUUCAAGGGCGAGUGCGUGAGCUGGGACAGUGAGCUUGUAGGCGGGGGGAGGG